GGGCGUUUAGUAUUUGGUCGUAGACCCGAAACCAGGUGAUCUACCCUUGGUCAGGUUGAAGUUCAGGUAACACUGAAUGGAGGACCGAACCGACUUACGUUGAAAAGUGAGCGGAUGAACUGAGGGUAGCGGAGAAAUUCCAAUCGAACCUGGAGAUAGCUGGUUCUCUCCGAAAUAGCUUUAGGGCUAGCCUCAAGUGAUGAUUAUUGGAGGUAGAGCACUGUUUGGACGAGGGGCCCCUCUCGGGUUACCGAAUUCAGACAAACUCCGAAUGCCAAUUAAUUUAACUUGGGAGUCAGAACAUGGGUGAUAAGGUCCGUGUUCGAAAGGGAAACAGCCCAGACCACCAGCUAAGGUCCCAAAAUAUAUGUUAAGUGGAAAAGGAUGUGGCGUUGCCCAGACAACUAGGAUGUUGGCUUAGAAGCAGCCAUCAUUUAAAGAGUGCGUAAUAGCUCACUAGUCGAGUGACACUGCGCCGAAAAUGUACCGGGGCUAAACAUAUUACCGAAGCUGUGGAUUGUCCUUUGGACAAUGGUAGGAGAGCGUUCUAAGGGCGUUGAAGCAUGAUCGUAAGGACAUGUGGAGCGCUUAGAAGUGAGAAUGCCGGUGUGAGUAGCGAAAGACGGGUGAGAAUCCCGUCCACCGAUUGACUAAGGUUUCCAGAGGAAGGCUCGUCCGCUCUGGGUUAGUCGGGUCCUAAGCUGAGGCCGACAGGCGUAGGCGAUGGAUAACAGGUUGAUAUUCCUGUACCACCUAUAAUCGUUUUAAUCGAUGGGGGGACGCAGUAGGAUAGGCGAAGCGUGCGAUUGGAUUGCACGUCUAAGCAGUAAGGCUGAGUAUUAGGCAAAUCCGGUACUCGUUAAGGCUGAGCUGUGAUGGGGAGAAGACAUUGUGUCUUCGAGUCGUUGAUUUCACACUGCCGAGAAAAGCCUCUAGAUAGAAAAUAGGUGCCCGUACCGCAAACCGACACAGGUAGUCAAGAUGAGAAUUCUAAGGUGAGCGAGCGAACUCUCGUUAAGGAACUCGGCAAAAUGACCCCGUAACUUCGGGAGAAGGGGUGCUCUUUAGGGUUAACGCCCAGAAGAGCCGCAGUGAAUAGGCCCAAGCGACUGUUUAUCAAAAACACAGGUCUCUGCU
Molecule: ribosomal RNA, 1137 nt
Filed under: Staphylococcus aureus
Lineage: Bacteria; Bacillati; Bacillota; Bacilli; Caryophanales; Staphylococcaceae
Description: partial 23S ribosomal RNA
Rfam family: Bacterial large subunit ribosomal RNA
Source: RNAcentral